Molecule: ribosomal RNA, 253 nt
Filed under: uncultured bacterium
Lineage: Bacteria
Description: partial 16S ribosomal RNA
Rfam family: Bacterial small subunit ribosomal RNA
Source: RNAcentral
UACGUAGGGCGCAAGCGUUACUCGGAAUCACUGGGCAUAAAGGGCGUGUAGGCGGAAGCGUAAGUCCGGUGUGAAAUCCCCCGGCUCAACCGGGGACUGUCAUCGGAUACUGCGCAUCUGGAGUGCGGGAAGGGAGAGCGGAACUCUUGGUGGAGCGGUGAAAUGCGUAGAUAUCAAGAGGAACGCCGGUGGCGAAAGCGGCUCUCUGGCCCGUUACUGACGCUGAGGCGCGAAAGCUAGGGGAGCAAACGGG